CCAGCAAUCAACAAAAACCCAGGUACGAAGGCUUGGCUGCCCCUGACCUUUUACAUACCCCGAGCUGAGUUGGGGGAGGAGGGAACUUCUACACAAAAGGGUCCGAGGAAUGACCCGGCCUGCCUCAGCUACCUGCUGUUUCACACAAAGGGGCCUGAGGCCCCGGCUGCCUCUGGAAGCCAAAGAAAAGGGCCGAGAUAAUGAGUGGCUGGGCUACCGCUGCUCUCUUCAGAGAGACCCGAGAAGGAAGGCGGCCAAACCUCCCUGACAAUAAAGAAGUAACAAAUGAGGAAUAAAAGCUUAUGGAAGACAUCUUAACCCAGGGAUGAAAAAAAAUGUCAACAUCUGUGAGGUUUUCUGCACCAGCGGCCCCGGCCCUAAUGAAAACUCUCCAGAGAGCAUUCCCGGCACACAGGCAAAAAGGCUACAUUUUUCUCUGGGGCGUGGAGGGUUCGACCAGGCUGCCCUUUCCCUUUCAGAUGCUGCUGAACCAAGCACUAAUGUUCAUCUACAGCUUUCUGAAGGCUGAAGGGGCAGGAGGAGAAUGGCGCGGGCGCGAGACCGUCUUUAUUCCUCGAGUCGGAGGUUCCUGCCUUCAGUUCCUGGACAGAAAUUAGUACCCGACAAUGGAUUAUUGCUCUGCCAGACCUGCCCAUGUUUUGGGGAGAAUUGUGGAAGGACUUUGGAAGUUUUGUCUGGGAACUUUUGACCACUGAGUGUUUAGAGCACUGGGCUGUUACAUGAACCUGGAAGCUAAGCACACUGAGAGUAGUCCAGAACCAUUGAUGCUAGUCAUCUGAAGCUGAGAAAAGGGCCAAGAGAUCAGCAUCACUGAGGUAAAAUCUUCUGGGUGUUUCUUCUCAGAGUCAGCACACAGCAGCUGUGGUCCAGAGGUACCUUGUGCUGGUAGCCAAACUUGAUACCAUGAGUUUCCAAUGUAGUACUGAAAGUGUUUAUAAGGGUGUCAUGGAGCUAAGGCUUGGCACCACAUGUCUGAAGAGAGCCCGACAAGGCUGUUGAUGAAGGGGCAGCCUAGCUGCAGUAGAGACCCCAGCAUUUAGGAGAUGCCUGUACCAUGGGCUAACCACCAUGGACAGCAGCAGCUAUACAGGGGAGCCCACUUGAAUGGAGGAGACAAAUCAUAUGUGGUAGAGGGCAGAGCCUUAGAGGUGGACCCUGGGUCCUGUGGAGUCCAGGGCAUGGUGCGCCAAACCCAGAUAUGAAGCCCUGAACUUUUUACAUGGUUGGACUUUGAUUCAGUGGUAACUGGCCUGGUUUUUCCCUCUUAGAGUGAGAAAGCAUUUAGUUUGCUUCUCAAUUUUGUUAAAGUCCACAGUUGAGAGACUCUGGAUAUUUUAGAGGGCCUUUUGGGUGCUUUAAAGAAACUGAUAUUUUAAGGCAUUUGACUAAUAUAAGAGAUUUAAUGUUCAAAUAUGAAUUUUGAAUUUUGUACAGAACUUAAGUGAGUUUGGUUUUUGUUUGUUUGUUUAUUUAUUCAUUUAUAUGAACUUAAGAAAAAUUUAUGGAAAAAAGGAACCUGCCAGUCGUGAGGUGUGGCUCUCCACAUCUGUCCUGUUUCUCCCCCCACCCUGUUUUCUCUCUGAGCAGGCCCUUUGUGGUCUUCUUCCUGGCUUACAGAGGCCUCUUGUGCCCCAGGCCCUUUGUGGCUAGAGAGCCAGGCCCACUGCAUGUGGAACUCCCCAGACUACCUCCAAUGCCUCAGUCACUCCUGGCCCAGCUGCCCCAACUCUCAUCUCUUGGCUCUGUCCCAGCUCCUCUCCUCCUACCCCUGCUCAGCUGGGCGUGGCCUACUACUUGAAGCACAGCUGUGUGAGCUCAGGUCUGAAUUCUUAUGCCUACUCGGCUUCCAUGCGGGGCUGUUGCGGUUGCUCACUUUAUAGAUGUGAGUAGUUCUGUUGCUCCCCUGAGCCGGGAGGCUCCAUGGCCUUGGUGUUGAUGAGGGGCCUGAGAUGCAAGCACUCAUCCUCCAAGUCUGACUGGAGUCCCAUGAGGCUUGUGUUACUGUUGUGUUGCUGUGAAGAGACACCAUGACCAAGGCAACUCUUAUAAAAGCAUUAACUGGGUCUGGUGUAGAGUUUCAGAGGCUUAGUCUGUUGUCAUCAUGGUGGGGAAUCACACAGGCUGGA
Long non-coding RNA from Alexandromys fortis (reed vole), 2147 nucleotides. RefSeq lists it as uncharacterized. Lineage: Eukaryota; Metazoa; Chordata; Mammalia; Rodentia; Cricetidae. The transcript has 3 exons. The record is from RefSeq and is a predicted model, not a curated record.